UAACAUCUGGAAACAGGUGCUAAUACCGCAUAACAACGAAAACCACAUGGUUUCGUUUCAAAGAUGGUUUUGGCUAUCACUUCAGGAUGGGCCCGCGGUGCAUUAGCUAGUUGGUAAGGUAACGGCUUACCAAGGCGAUGAUGCAUAGCCGAGUUGAGAGACUGAUCGGCCACAAUGGAACUGAGACACGGUCCAUACUCCUACGGGAGGCAGCAGCG
RNAcentral lists this ribosomal RNA (218 nucleotides) under uncultured Lactobacillus sp. Its description in RNAcentral is "partial 16S ribosomal RNA". It matches the Rfam family "Bacterial small subunit ribosomal RNA", at positions 144 to 356 of the family's 1533-position model. The record is from RNAcentral. Lineage: Bacteria; Bacillati; Bacillota; Bacilli; Lactobacillales; Lactobacillaceae.